GAUGAACGCUGGCGGCGUGCUUAAUACAUGCAAGUCGAACGAAGCACCUCUCCCGAAGAUAGACCCAGCUUGCUGGGAAUUGAUUCAUUUGAGGUGACUGAGUGGCGGACGGGUGAGUAACGCGUGGGUAACCUGCCUUAUACAGGGGGAUAACAGUUGGAAACGACUGCUAAUACCGCAUAAGCGCACAGUACCGCAUGGUACAGUGUGAAAAACUCCGGUGGUAUAAGAUGGACCCGCGUCUGAUUAGCUAGUUGGUGAGGUAACGGCUUACCAAGGCAACGAUCAGUAGCCGACUUGAGAGAGUGAUCGGCCACAUUGGGACUGAGACACGGCCCAAACUCCUACGGGAGGCAGCAGUAGGGAAUAUUGCACAAUGGGGGAAACCCUGAUGCAGCGACGCCGCGUGAAGGAUGAAGUAUUUCGGUAUGUAAACUUCUAUCAGCAAGGAAGAA
Molecule: ribosomal RNA, 455 nt
Filed under: uncultured bacterium
Lineage: Bacteria
Description: bacterial SSU rRNA
Rfam family: Bacterial small subunit ribosomal RNA
Source: RNAcentral